Molecule: ribosomal RNA, 502 nt
Filed under: uncultured bacterium
Lineage: Bacteria
Description: partial 16S ribosomal RNA
Rfam family: Bacterial small subunit ribosomal RNA
Source: RNAcentral
AGCGAACGCUGGCGGCGUGCCUAACACAUGCAAGUCGAACGUGAAAGGGAGCAAUCCCAAGUAAAGUGGCGUACGGGUGAGUAACACGUAGGUAAUCUACCCCAGAAUCUGGAAUAACCGGCCGAAAGGCUGGCUAAUACUGGAUAGAGCGACGGAAUCCGUAAUUGGGUUUUUCGGGAAAGGGAGCCUGUAAAAAGGCCUUCGUUCUGGGAUGAGCCUGCGUCCCAUCAGCUAGUUGGUGAGGUAAAAGCUUACCAAGGCAAUGACGGGUAGCUGGUCUGAGAGGACGAUCAGCCACACUGGAACGGAAACACGGUCCAGACUCCUACGGGAGGCAGCAGUGGGGAAUCUUGCGCAAUGGACGAAAGUCUGACGCAGCAACGCCGCGUGAGUGAAGAAGGCCUUCGGGUUGUAAAGCUCUGUCGAGUGGGACGAAAAUGCUUGGAGUUCACAGCUCCAGGAACUGACGGUACCACUAAAGGAAGCACCGGCUAACUCCGUG